Oncorhynchus tshawytscha (Chinook salmon) is the source of this 633-nucleotide long non-coding RNA. NCBI's taxonomy places the organism in Eukaryota, Metazoa, Chordata, Actinopteri, Salmoniformes, Salmonidae. The record is from Ensembl.
CCUCCCUUCAUUUCCCUCUCCCUCCGCUCUCUGACACACUCAAACACGCACACAUGCCCUCCUCCCCCAUGCUGCAGUGUCUCAACUGCCUUGGAGCAAACCAGAGAGGAAAUAGAACAGACAAUAAUAAGAGAGACGAGAAAGAGGGGGAUAUAAAGAGAGAGAGUAUGAGUGGAAGAAAGAGUGUGUUAUAGGAGAAUGUUGGACUAAGAGUGGAUUGCACACUGCUUAUCUCUCCCAUGCGAGUGUUUGUCUGCAGUAUCCCUGGUGAACGGACCCUGGACAUUGAAACGUUUGGACCGACUCUCCUUCAUCACCACUAGAAAACCGUUACAGAAUCACCCACCACCAACGGACCAAGCAGCGUGUCAACAGGCAGGAGCAGCAGGAGAGGCAACAGGUGCAGCAGGAGAGGAGGCAACAGGAGCAGCCCAAAAAGGAGAACAGUAUGGACUAUACUUCUUGGGAGGAGAUAGACAGGUGGGCGGUCGACCCAGGGAGAGUGCCGGAGCCCGCCUGGGAUUCGAUGGAGCAGUGCGCAGAAGGUUAUCGGAGAAUGAGGUUGGCGAAGCAAGCACGGCGGCGCGGACGGAAGCCCGAGAGUCAGCCCCAAAAAUUUAUUGGGGGGGGGGC